This 155-nucleotide ribosomal RNA is filed under the name uncultured bacterium. RNAcentral's name for it is "partial 16S ribosomal RNA". It matches the Rfam family "Bacterial small subunit ribosomal RNA", at positions 355 to 507 of the family's 1533-position model. The record is from RNAcentral.
UGAGGAAUAUUGGUCAAUGGGCGAGAGCCUGAACCAGCCAAGUAGCGUGAAGGAUGAAGGUCCUAUGGAUUGUAAACUUCUUUUAUAGUAGAAUAAAGUGACCCACGUGUGGGUUUUUGUAUGUAUACUAUGAAUAAGGAUCGGCUAACUCCGUG